This 253-nucleotide ribosomal RNA is filed under the name uncultured bacterium. Its description in RNAcentral is "partial 16S ribosomal RNA". It matches the Rfam family "Bacterial small subunit ribosomal RNA", at positions 524 to 776 of the family's 1533-position model. The record is from RNAcentral.
CACGUAGGGCGCAAGCGUUGUCCGGAAUUAUUGGGCGUAAAGAGCUCGUAGGUGGUUUGUUACGUCUGCUGUGAAAACCUAGGGCUUAACCCUGGGCUUGCAGUGGAUACGGGCAGACUAGAGGUAGGUAGGGGAGAAUGGAAUUCCUGGUGUAGCGGUGAAAUGCGCAGAUAUCAGGAGGAACACCUGUGGCGAAGGCGGUUCUCUGGGCCUUACCUGACACUGAGGAGCGAAAGCGUGGGGAGCGAACAGG